CUAGAAUACCAAGGCGAUCGAGUGAAUCGUGGUUAAGGAAUUCGGCAAAAUACCCCCGUAACUUCGGGAGAAGGGGGCCAGAGGGUGACGGGACUUGCUCCCCGAGCCUGAACGGCCGCAGAGACCAGGGAGAAGCGACUGUUUACUAAAAACACAGGUCCGUGCCAAGUCGCAAGACGAUGUAUACGGACUGACGCCUGCCCGGUGCUGGAACGUUAAGGGGACCGGUUAGCCUCACGGCGAAGCUGAGAACUUAAGCGCCAGUAAACGGCGGUGGUAACUAUAACCAUCCUAAGGUAGCGCAAUUCCUUGUCGGGUAAGUUCCGACCUGCACGAGUGGCGUAACGACUUCUCCACUGUCUCAACCACGAACUCGGCGAAAUUGCACUACGAGUAAAGAUGCUCGUUACGCGCAGAAGGACGGAAAGACCCCGGGACCUUUACUACAGCUUGGUAUUGGUGUUCGGUACGGCUUGUGUAGGAUAGGUGGGAGACUGUGAAGCUGACACGCCAGUGUCGGUGGAGUCAACGUUGAAAUACCACUCUGGUCGUUCUGGAUAUCUAACCUAGGUCCGUAAUCCGGAUCAGGGACAGUGCCUGGUGGGUAGUUUAACUGGGGCGGUUGCCUCCUAAAAGGUAACGGAGGCGCCCAAAGGUUCCCUCAGCCUGGUUGGCAAUCAGGUUUCGAGUGUAAGUGCACAAGGGAGCUUGACUGUGAGACUGACAAGUCGAACAGGGACGAAAGUCGGGACUAGUGAUCAGGCGGUGGCUUGUGGAAGCGCCGUCGCUCAACGGAUAAAAGGUACCCCGGGGAUAACAGGCUGAUCUUGCCCAAGAGUCCAUAUCGACGGCAUGGUUUGGCACCUCGAUGUCGGCUCGUCGCAUCCUGGGGCUGGAGUAGGUCCCAAGGGUUGGGCUGUUCGCCCAUUAAAGCGGUACGCGAGCUGGGUUUAGAACGUCGUGAGACAGUUCGGUCCCUAUCCUCUGCGCGCGCAGGAAACUUGAGAAGGGCUGUCCCUAGUACGAGAGGACCGGGAUGGACGAACCUCUGGUGUGUCAGUUGUUCUGCCAAGAGCACCGCUGAUUAGCUACGUUCGGGAGUGAUAACCGCUGAAAGCAUCUAAGCGGGAAGCAUGCUUCAAGAUGAGGUUUCCAUGGGGUUUACCCCGAGAGGCUCCCAGCUAGACUACUGGGUUGAUAGGCCGGAUGUGGAAGUGCGGUAACGCAUGGAGCUGACCGGUACUAAUAAGCUGAUAACUUGACUG
Molecule: ribosomal RNA, 1265 nt
Filed under: metagenome
Description: bacterial LSU rRNA
Rfam family: Bacterial large subunit ribosomal RNA
Source: RNAcentral